RNAcentral lists this non-coding RNA (31 nucleotides) under Rattus norvegicus (Norway rat). The record is from RNAcentral. Lineage: Eukaryota; Metazoa; Chordata; Mammalia; Rodentia; Muridae.
UGAGAAUUGUAGCACAGCUACAGAGGUCCCU